CUCUUAUUCCGAGUCGGUGGAGGGACAGCCCCAAUGAAACCCAGCAACCUGCUUUAAGAACUUUGGACAGGACAUUCAAAAGGAUUGGUCCAAACAAGGAGAUAGUACGUUUUCUUUUUGGUUGAACCAGAAUCAUUUUACAUGAUUUAAGCGGUAAUGCUUAUUCGGAUGAAAGUUACUCUGCUCAAAGAGCUAUUCUAAGCAAAGGUGCUAAUCUGAUGCAAGGUUUUCCUUGAUCGAUAAGAG
This 246-nucleotide non-coding RNA is filed under the name Bacillus sp. (in: firmicutes). RNAcentral's name for it is "Bacillus sp. SAM-I sequence". It matches the Rfam family "SAM riboswitch aptamer (S box leader)". Rfam says of the family: The SAM riboswitch is found upstream of a number of genes which code for proteins involved in methionine or cysteine biosynthesis in Gram-positive bacteria. The SAM riboswitch acts at the level of transcription termination control. Lineage: Bacteria; Bacillati; Bacillota; Bacilli; Caryophanales; Bacillaceae. The record is from RNAcentral.